CAGUGUCCCCGCGGCGGGUGGCGGCUGCGGCGUCUGUGCAACGCGAGGGGGCGGAGGGAGCCCGCGGCGGCGGCCACAGCGAAAUGGCGGAGACCGUGGCGGACACCCGGAGACUCAUCACUAAGCCGCAGAACCUGAAUGACGCCUACGGGCCGCCCAGCAACUUCCUGGAGAUCGAUGUGAGCAACCCGCAGACGGUGGGGGUCGGCCAGGGCCGCUUCACCACCUACGAGAUCAGGGUCAAGACAAAUCUUCCUAUUUUCAAACUAAAGGAAUCUACUGUUAGAAGAAGAUACAGCGACUUUGAAUGGCUCCGAAGUGAAUUAGAAAGAGAGAGCAAGGUUGUAGUUCCCCCGCUCCCUGGGAAGGCAUUUUUGCGUCAACUUCCUUUUAGAGGAGAUGAUGGAAUGUUUGAUGACAAUUUUAUUGAGGAAAGGAAGCAAGGCCUGGAGCAAUUUAUAAACAAGGUCGCUGGUCAUCCUCUGGCACAGAAUGAACGUUGGCUUCACAUGUUUUUACAGGAUGAAAUAAUAGAUAAAAGCUAUACUCCAUCUAAGACAUGCUUGAAAUUUGGCAAAGGCAAAAAUGUGGCUAUCCAUGUUUCAUAUGCACCAUUGAAGACGUUCUAA
Octodon degus (degu) is the source of this 629-nucleotide RNA transcript. It is a transcript of the gene named sorting nexin-3 pseudogene, with no coding region annotated. NCBI's taxonomy places the organism in Eukaryota, Metazoa, Chordata, Mammalia, Rodentia, Octodontidae. The record is from RefSeq and is a predicted model, not a curated record. The transcript has a single exon.